Molecule: ribosomal RNA, 253 nt
Filed under: uncultured bacterium
Lineage: Bacteria
Description: partial 16S ribosomal RNA
Rfam family: Bacterial small subunit ribosomal RNA
Source: RNAcentral
AACGUAGGACGCAAACGUUAUCCGGAAUUACUGGGCGUAAAGGGCGCGCAGGCGGAUCGAUAAGUGAGGCAUGAAAGCUUCGGGCUAAACCUGGAGAGGCUGUCUGAGACUGUCGAUCUGGAGUGCGAUAGAGGGGUGUAGAAUUCCGCGUGUAGUGGUGAAAUGCGUAGAGAUGCGGAGGAAUACCAGAGGCGAAGGCGGCACCCUGGAUCGUAACUGACGCUGAGGCGCGAAAGCAUGGGGAGAGAACGGG